UACGGGAGGCAGCAGUGGGGAAUAUUGCACAAUGGGCGAAAGCCUGAUGCAGCUAUGCCGCGUGUAUGAAGAAGGCCUUAGGGUUGUAAAGUACUUUCAUCGGGGAGGAAAAAAACAAAACUAAUAAUUUUAUUUCUUGACGUUACCCGAAAAAGAAGCACCGGCUAACUCCGUGCCAGCAGCCGCGGUAAUACGGAGGGUGCUAGCGUUAAUCAGAAUUACUGGGCGUAAAGAGCACGUAGGUGGUUUUUUUAAAGUCAGAUGUGAAAUCCCUGGGCUUAACCUGGAACUGCAUUUUGAAACUGAAAUACUAGAGUAUCGUAGAGGGAGGUAGAAUUCUAGGUGUAGCGGUGAAAUGCGUAGAUAUCUGGAGGAAUACCUGUGGCGAAAGCGGCCUCCUAAACGAAUACUGACACUGAGGUGCGAAAGCGUGGGGAGCAAACAGGGAUUAGAUACC
Molecule: ribosomal RNA, 457 nt
Filed under: uncultured bacterium
Lineage: Bacteria
Description: bacterial SSU rRNA
Rfam family: Bacterial small subunit ribosomal RNA
Source: RNAcentral